RNAcentral lists this ribosomal RNA (203 nucleotides) under uncultured bacterium. RNAcentral describes it as "partial 16S ribosomal RNA". It matches the Rfam family "Bacterial small subunit ribosomal RNA", at positions 524 to 727 of the family's 1533-position model. The record is from RNAcentral.
UACGUAGGUGGCGAGCGUUGUCCGGAAUUAUUGGGCGUAAAGAGCGUGUAGGUGGGAUCAUAAGUCUUUUGUCAAAGUGCGGGGCUCAACCCCGUGAUGCGGAGGAAACUGUGAUUCUUGAGUGCCGGAGAGGAAAGCGGAAUUCCCAGUGUAGCGGUGAAAUGCGUAGAUAUUGGGAGGAACACCAGUGGCGAAGGCGGCUU